Molecule: long non-coding RNA, 750 nt
Organism: Folsomia candida
Lineage: Eukaryota; Metazoa; Arthropoda; Collembola; Entomobryomorpha; Isotomidae
Exons: 4
Source: RefSeq, a predicted model, not a curated record
GUCAAAAGUAGGUUGUGAUACAUACGUACCUCCAAGUAAUGCUUAGACCUGCAUAUUUACUGGACAAGAAAUAAGCAACUAUAAGCAUUAUAACCACAUUCAUAUCUUGUCAAACCUUGAGACACAUUUGUUACAGAAAGUAAAGAACUAUUCACAUUUCUUUUACAGGAAGCCAGGCCAGUAGCGUUCUGCCACAGGUCGAAGCAACUUUGUGGAAUUUGCCAAAGUACGAUAAAGAGUGAACAAUUCAAACUAUUCUUCGAAAAAGGACGGAAUUAUGUCAUCCAAACAAACCGGGGGCGCCGGAAGUAGCAGGGGGCAGCCGUGUCAAAACGAGUGCGGAUAUGACCCGUCUAAUCGAAAACACAACGAGGAGCAUUGGCAAGGCUCGAAUGACCCUCGCGGGACAAGCCGUGGAGUCACAUGAAAUUCAAUUCACACUACUACAACGUGAUUGAUCGUCAGAUUGCUGAAAAUCAUCACACUCGGUGUUUGGGCCAGCCUGGAAACACGCAAUACGCCAAAACGUACCCAAAGUAAGGACUCCUCGGAUGCCUGGAUGGAAUUCUGUCCAAAUUUACUUACUUUUUAUUUGCAUAGCGUUGCCCACAAGAUAAAUUAACUUGUGCAUUUAUAAUUAAUUUUAGAAUAAUUUGUAAUGCAAAAAACCUUAUAUAUGAAUUUCCUAAAAUUGCAACGUUCCAAUAAAAUUUGGCGACAUAUCUACCCGUCCAAUUUCCAUCAAAUUUG